This 82-nucleotide signal recognition particle RNA is filed under the name marine eukaryotic metagenome. RNAcentral describes it as "Bacterial small signal recognition particle RNA". It matches the Rfam family "Bacterial small signal recognition particle RNA". From Rfam's summary of the family: The signal recognition particle (SRP) is a universally conserved ribonucleoprotein involved in the co-translational targeting of proteins to membranes. The record is from RNAcentral.
CGGGCCCUGCGCAAUAGAAACUCGCAAACCCCGCCAGGCCCGGAAGGGAGCAACGGUAGUGAACUUUUUAUGUGCCGCAGCC